CUCUUUCCUCGGAGGAAACUUUCCGCCCGCUGGUCUGUCGCGGUGUCCGACAGCACCGCCGCACGAACCCGGUAAGGCGGACGGGGCGGCCCGGCCCCGGUAUAUGCGGCGACCGGGAAGACACCAGUGCCGGAGCCAGGCUGCGGGACGCUGACGGGGUGGAGCAGCUACGGGAGGAGCGAGCGCCUUGUGCCCUGGAGGACCUGACCUGGGUAACCUCGCAGGCUGACAGGCGAGCUGCGCCACAGCAGCAUGGAUGCCCCGAGAAGGGACAUGGAGCUACUCAGCAACAGCCUUGCAGCCUAUGCGCACAUCCGAGCAUCUCCUGCGCACCUCGUUCGCGGCCCCGGACCCCUGCCCCGCACCGGGACCCUCGCAGUAGCACCCUAGAGCCGGAAGACGAGGACGACGAGGAUGAGGACACCAUGACCAGGCUGGGUCCGGAUGACACCCUGCAGGGCCAGGAGCUGUCCACAGAACCCGACGGGCCCCUUAGCGUCAAUGUCUUCACGUCAGCAGAGGAGCUAGAGCGGGCACAGCGGCUGGAGGAGCGUGAACGAAUCCUGCGGGAGAUCUGGCGCACUGGGCAGCCAGACCUGUUGGGCAGCGGCACUCUCGGGCCCGGAGCCACGGCCACGUUGGGCCGAAUGCACUAUUACUGACACCCGGUCCCACAGAGUGGGGCCAGAGUACUGGAUACAGGACUGCCUCAGGGCUUUCAAACUGCCUCUGCCCCAACUCUCUUGGUGCUAUUGGGCAUUGGAUCGCCACCUACUAAGCACUCUUCGUGGGGCAGGUGUGGGUGGGAACAGAAUGCCAGCUCCCACCUUUUCCCGAUAAUAAUGACCAAUGAAAGGUAAUCUCAGCGA
Molecule: long non-coding RNA, 869 nt
Filed under: Rattus norvegicus (Norway rat)
Lineage: Eukaryota; Metazoa; Chordata; Mammalia; Rodentia; Muridae
Description: long non-coding RNA NONRATT022622
Source: RNAcentral